This is a long non-coding RNA of Arabidopsis thaliana (thale cress), 348 nucleotides long. RefSeq annotates it as other RNA. The transcript has a single exon. Lineage: Eukaryota; Viridiplantae; Streptophyta; Magnoliopsida; Brassicales; Brassicaceae. The record is from RefSeq.
AAAUAACCGUUGUAUGACAUCAUCAUAAAUAAUCUCCGACGAAGAAAAUUCCUCCAUCUCGUUGUAAAUUUCAGGUCAUGUUCUUUCAAAUUCCGGCCACAACUUCAUCACCGUAACGUUGAAUCUCUUAUAAUCCCAGAUUCACCUUUAAACACCUCCUUGCCAUCUCUAAUGAUCGACUAAAACUUGGUCGGAGAAAAAUAAAAUCAGACCCGCAGAAGAGAUACGAACGAACGAACUCACCGAAUAAUUCUCAAAGCGAGAAUGAGAUUCAUAACGGCUCUUCGAUAUAACUUGCUCAAGAAGAAACUCAAGUUUUUAAAAGCAGAAGAAGAAGAAAUAGCACUU